This 557-nucleotide ribosomal RNA is filed under the name uncultured bacterium. RNAcentral's name for it is "bacterial SSU rRNA". It matches the Rfam family "Bacterial small subunit ribosomal RNA", at positions 28 to 545 of the family's 1533-position model. The record is from RNAcentral.
GACGAACGCUGGCGGCGUGCUUAACACAUGCAAGUCGAACGGACCUUAUUUGGAGGAAGCUUUCGGGUAGACACUGAAUAAGGUUAGUGGCGGACGGGUGAGUAACGCGUAGAUAAUCUACCUUAAAGACCGGGACAACAGUUGGAAACGACUGCUAAUACCGGAUAAGCUCCUUGAGCGGCAUCGCUUAAGGAGGAAAGGAGGCCUCUUUAUAAUGCUCCCGCUUUUAGAUGAGUCUGCGUCUGAUUAGCUAGUUGGUGGGGUAACGGCUUACCAAGGCGACGAUCAGUAGUCGGCCUGAGAGGGUGACCGGCCACAUUGGGACUGAGACACGGCCCAAACUCCUACGGGAGGCAGCAGUGGGGAAUCUUCCGCAAUGGGCGAAAGCCUGACGGAGCAACGCCGCGUGAUCGAAUGAAGGCCUCCGGGUUGUAAAGAUCUGUUGAUAGGGACGAAUAAGCCAUGCGAAUAGUUUGGUGUAUGACGGUACCUAUUUAGAAAGCUCCGGCUAACUACGUGCCAGCAGCCGCGGUAAUACGUAGGGAGCAAGCGUUGUC